GGAAUCUUCCACAAUGGGCGAAAGCCUGAUGGAGCAACGCCGCGUGUGUGAUGAAGGGUUUCGGCACGUAAAACACUGUUGUAAGAGAAGAAUGACAUUGAGAGUAACUGCUCAAUGUGUGACGGUAUCUUACCAGAAAGGAACGGCUAAAUACGUGCCAG
Molecule: ribosomal RNA, 161 nt
Filed under: uncultured bacterium
Lineage: Bacteria
Description: partial 16S rRNA
Rfam family: Bacterial small subunit ribosomal RNA
Source: RNAcentral